AGUGAACGCUGGCGGUAGGCCUAACACAUGCAAGUCGAACGGCAGCACAGUAAGAGCUUGCUCUUACGGGUGGCGAGUGGCGGACGGGUGAGGAAUACAUCGGAAUCUACUUUUUCGUGGGGGAUAACGUAGGGAAACUUACGCUAAUACCGCAUACGACCUACGGGUGAAAGCAGGGGAUCUUCGGACCUUGCGCGAUUGAAUGAGCCGAUGUCGGAUUAGCUAGUUGGCGGGGUAAAGGCCCACCAAGGCGACGGUCCGUAGCUGGUCUGAGAGGAUGAUCAGCCACACUGGAACUGAGACACGGUCCUGACUCCUACGGGAGGCAGCAGUGGGGAAUAUUGGACAAUGGGCGCAAGCCUGAUCCAGCCAUACCGCGUGGGUGAAGAAGGCCUUCGGGUUGUAAAGCCCUUUUGUUGGGAAAGAAAAGCAGCAGGUUAAUACCCCGCUGUUCUGACGGUACCCAAAGAAUAAGCACCGGCUAACUUCGUG
This 492-nucleotide ribosomal RNA is filed under the name uncultured bacterium. RNAcentral's name for it is "partial 16S ribosomal RNA". It matches the Rfam family "Bacterial small subunit ribosomal RNA", at positions 29 to 507 of the family's 1533-position model. The record is from RNAcentral.